UACGAAGGGGGCUAGCGUUGCUCGGAAUCACUGGGCGUAAAGGGUGCGUAGGCGGGUCUUUAAGUCAGGGGUGAAAUCCUGGAGCUCAACUCCAGAACUGCCUUUGAUACUGAGGAUCUUGAGUUCGGGAGAGGUGAGUGGAACUGCGAGUGUAGAGGUGAAAUUCGUAGAUAUUCGCAAGAACACCAGUGGCGAAGGCGGCUCACUGGCCCGAUACUGACGCUGAGGCACGAAAUCGUCGGGAGCAAACAGG
This 253-nucleotide ribosomal RNA is filed under the name uncultured bacterium. RNAcentral describes it as "partial 16S ribosomal RNA". It matches the Rfam family "Bacterial small subunit ribosomal RNA", at positions 524 to 776 of the family's 1533-position model. The record is from RNAcentral.